UUAAGCGACUAAGCGUACACGGUGGAUGCCCUGGCAGUCAGAGGCGAUGAAGGACGUGCUAAUCUGCGAAAAGCGUCGGUAAGGUGAUAUGAACCGUUACAGCCGGCGAUGUCCGAAUGGGGAAACCCAGUGCAAUUCGUUGCACUAUCGUUAACUGAAUACAUAGGUUAACGAGGCGAACCGGGGGAACUGAAACAUCUAAGUACCCCGAGGAAAAGAAAUCAACCGAGAUUCCCCCAGUAGCGGCGAGCGAACGGGGAGCAGCCCAGAGUCUGAAUCAGCUUGUGUGUUAGUGGAACGGUCUGGAAAGUCCGACGGUACAGGGUGAUAGUCCCGUACACCAAAAUGCACAGGUUGUGAACUCGAAGAGUAGGGCGGGACACGUGGUAUCCUGUCUGAAUAUGGGGGGACCAUCCUCCAAGGCUAAAUACUCCUGACUGACCGAUAGUGAACCAGUACCGUGAGGGAAAGGCGAAAAGAACCCCGGCGAGGGGAGUGAAAAAGAACCUGAAACCGUGUACGUACAAGCAGUGGGAGCACCUUCGGGUGUGACUGCGUACCUUUUGUAUAAUGGGUCAGCGACUUAUAUUCUGUAGCAAGGUUAACCGUAUAGGGGAGCCGCAGGGAAACCGAGUCUUAACUGGGCGUUAAGUUGCAGGGUAUAGACCCGAAACCCGGUGAUCUAGCCAUGGGCAGGUUGAAGGUUGGGUAACACUAACUGGAGGACCGAACCGACUAAUGUUGAAAAAUUAGCGGAUGACUUGUGGCUGGGGGUGAAAGGCCAAUCAAACCGGGAGAUAGCUGGUUCUCCCCGAAAGCUAUUUAGGUAGCGCCUCGUGAACUCAUCUUCGGGGGUAGAGCACUGUUUCGGCUAGGGGGUCAUCCCGACUUACCAACCCGAUGCAAACUACGAAUACCGAAGAAUGUUAUCACGGGAGACACACGGCGGGUGCUAACGUCCGUCGUGAAGAGGGAAACAACCCAGACCGCCAGCUAAGGUCCCAAAGUCAUGGUUAAGUGGGAAACGAUGUGGGAAGGCACAGACAGCCAGGAUGUUGGCUUAGAAGCAGCCAUCAUUUAAAGAAAGCGUAAUAGCUCACUGGUCGAGUCGGCCUGCGCGGAAGAUGUAACGGGGCUAAACCAUGCACCGAAGCUGCGGCAGCGACACUAUGUGUUGUUGGGUAGGGGAGCGUUCUGUAAGCCUGCGAAGGUGUGCUGUGAGGCAUGCUGGAGGUAUCAGAAGUGCGAAUGCUGACAUAAGUAACGAUAAAGCGGGUGAAAAGCCCGCUCGCCGGAAGACCAAGGGUUCCUGUCCAACGUUAAUCGGGGCAGGGUGAGUCGACCCCUAAGGCGAGGCCGAAAGGCGUAGUCGAUGGGAAACAGGUUAAUAUUCCUGUACUUGGUGUUACUGCGAAGGGGGGACGGAGAAGGCUAUGUUAGCCGGGCGACGGUUGUCCCGGUUUAAGCAUGUAGGCUGAUUGUCCAGGCAAAUCCGGAUAAUCAAGGCUGAGGUGUGAUGACGAGGCACUACGGUGCUGAAGUAACAAAUGCCCUGCUUCCAGGAAAAGCCUCUAAGCAUCAGGUAACAUCAAAUCGUACCCCAAACCGACACAGGUGGUCAGGUAGAGAAUACCAAGGCGCUUGAGAGAACUCGGGUGAAGGAACUAGGCAAAAUGGUGCCGUAACUUCGGGAGAAGGCACGCUGGUGUGUAGGUGAAGUCCCUGCGGAUGGAGCUGAGACCAGUCGAAGAUACCAGCUGGCUGCAACUGUUUAUUAAAAACACAGCACUGUGCAAACACGAAAGUGGACGUAUACGGUGUGACGCCUGCCCGGUGCCGGAAGGUUAAUUGAUGGGGUUAUCCGUAAGGAGAAGCUCUUGAUCGAAGCCCCGGUAAACGGCGGCCGUAACUAUAACGGUCCUAAGGUAGCGAAAUUCCUUGUCGGGUAAGUUCCGACCUGCACGAAUGGCGUAAUGAUGGCCAGGCUGUCUCCACCCGAGACUCAGUGAAAUUGAACUCGCUGUGAAGAUGCAGUGUACCCGCGGCAAGACGGAAAGACCCCGUGAACCUUUACUAUAGCUUGACACUGAACAUUGAGCCUUGAUGUGUAGGAUAGGUGGGAGGCUUUGAAGCGUGGACGCCAGUCUGCGUGGAGCCAACCUUGAAAUACCACCCUUUAAUGUUUGAUGUUCUAACGUUGGCCCCUGACCGGGGUUGCGGACAGUGUCUGGUGGGUAGUUUGACUGGGGCGGUCUCCUCCCAAAGCGUAACGGAGGAGCACGAAGGUUAGCUAAUCCUGGUCGGACAUCAGGAGGUUAGUGCAAUGGCAUAAGCUAGCUUGACUGCGAGCGUGACGGCGCGAGCAGGUGCGAAAGCAGGUCAUAGUGAUCCGGUGGUUCUGAAUGGAAGGGCCAUCGCUCAACGGAUAAAAGGUACUCCGGGGAUAACAGGCUGAUACCGCCCAAGAGUUCAUAUCGACGGCGGUGUUUGGCACCUCGAUGUCGGCUCAUCACAUCCUGGGGCUGAAGUAGGUCCCAAGGGUAUGGCUGUUCGCCAUUUAAAGUGGUACGCGAGCUGGGUUUAGAACGUCGUGAGACAGUUCGGUCCCUAUCUGCCGUGGGCGCUGGAGAAUUGAGGGGGGCUGCUCCUAGUACGAGAGGACCGGAGUGGACGCAUCACUGGUGUUCGGGUUGUCAUGCCAAUGGCACUGCCCGGUAGCUAAAUGCGGAAGAGAUAAGUGCUGAAAGCAUCUAAGCACGAAACUUGCCCCGAGAUGAGUUCUCCCUGAGACUAUAAGUCUCCUGAAGGAACGUU
RNAcentral lists this ribosomal RNA (2814 nucleotides) under Klebsiella pneumoniae BIDMC 18B. Its description in RNAcentral is "bacterial LSU rRNA". It matches the Rfam family "Bacterial large subunit ribosomal RNA". RNAcentral also lists the same sequence under 4 other names. Lineage: Bacteria; Pseudomonadati; Pseudomonadota; Gammaproteobacteria; Enterobacterales; Enterobacteriaceae. The record is from RNAcentral.